GCUUGGGUAGCUCAGUUGGUAGAGCACUUGCCCGCAAAAGGCAAAGGUCCCGAGUUCGAGUCUCGGUCCGGGACA
RNAcentral lists this transfer RNA (75 nucleotides) under Schistocerca americana (American grasshopper). RNAcentral describes it as "tRNA-Leu". It matches the Rfam family "tRNA". Rfam says of the family: Transfer RNA (tRNA) molecules are approximately 80 nucleotides in length. Their secondary structure includes four short double-helical elements and three loops (D, anti-codon, and T loops). Lineage: Eukaryota; Metazoa; Arthropoda; Insecta; Orthoptera; Acrididae. The record is from RNAcentral.